This 225-nucleotide unclassified non-coding RNA is filed under the name Hevea brasiliensis (rubber tree). The record is from RNAcentral. Lineage: Eukaryota; Viridiplantae; Streptophyta; Magnoliopsida; Malpighiales; Euphorbiaceae.
ACCACCUUCGGCCCCACCAUCACCAUCAUCGUCAUCGUCAUUCGGGUUCUUUCGGAGAAGUAAGCCAUCAUCCGAUCGGAGGCAACCACCACCACCAUCACCACGAUCAGAUAGAAGGCAACCACAAUCUCCGCGGUCUUACUCCUCUCACCGGUCCAUAUACUAAACCUAGCCGACCCGAGUACACCUGAAGGAUCGAACUCGAUACCUAGACCCAGAGGAUUA